AUACGGAGGAUCCGAGCGUUAUCCGGAUUUAUUGGGUUUAAAGGGUGCGCAGGCGGGAGAUUAAGUCGGCGGUGAAAUUUUGCAGCUCAACUGUAAAAGUGCCUUCGAAACUGGUUUCCUUGAGUGUAGAUGAAGUAGGCGGCAUUUGGGGUGUAGCGGUGAAAUGCAUAGAUAUCACGAGGAACUCCGAUUGCGCAGGCAGCUUACUAAACUACUACUGACGCUCAGGCACGAAGGCGUGGGGAUCAGACAGGAUUAGAUACCCUGGUAGUCCACGCAGUAAACGAUGAUUACUAGCUGUUUGCGAUACAAUGUAAGCGGCUGAGCGAAAGCGUUAAGUAAUCCACCUGGGGAGUACGUUCGCAAGAAUGAAACUUAAAUGAAUUGACGGGG
RNAcentral lists this ribosomal RNA (393 nucleotides) under uncultured bacterium. RNAcentral's name for it is "partial 16S ribosomal RNA". It matches the Rfam family "Bacterial small subunit ribosomal RNA", at positions 523 to 918 of the family's 1533-position model. The record is from RNAcentral.